GAGCGCUUCCGCAGAAUUUCGAGAGGGGGAGUCAAAUCUGGGAAAAGGUUUCCCAAAAUGGCCUUCGCCGCCGCCUUCCUCCCCAAAGUCUUCUCCCCCUCCACCGCCGCCAUCGAAAGCCGCUCCGCCGGCGCCAAUUCCCGCUCAGGUCCGCCGCCCUCCGCCGGCACCCAUGGCCCUCGCCUCCCCGGUACCGGCCUCCGCAGCGCCGGCUUCUCCUCCACCCUCAUCCUCCGCUUCCCCCCUAACUUCGUUCGCCAGCUCAGCACCAAGGCCCGCCGCAAUUGCAGCAACAUCGGCGUCGCACAGAUCGUCGCCGCCUCGUGGUCCAACGGCCCCGCCUCCCCCAACACCCCUCUUCCUCCCGCCGUCUCGGCGAUCACCGCCCCCGCGGCGGAGGAGGACGCCACCGCCGCCGGCGUCAGCGGCACCACCCCUGUAGAGCCACCGGUCACCGUCGAGUCUCUGCUGAGCUUCGAUGGGAGCAUCGCGGUCCAUGCCGGUGAGAGAUCGGGGCGUGGCAUAACCACGGAUGCGAUCACCACCCCUGUCGUCAACACUUCGGCGUACUGGUUCAAAAACUCUGAAGAGCUGGUCGAUUUCAAGGAGGGGAGGCAUGCGAGUUUUGAGUAUGGGCGUUACGGGAAUCCGACUACAAGGGUUCUGGAGGAGAAGAUGAGCGCACUGGAGAGAGCUGAAUCCACCCUGUUUGUUUCAUCUGGAAUGUAUGCGAGCGUUGCAAUGAUGAUGGCGCUGGUGCCUCCUGGUGGCCAUAUCAUUACGACCACAGAUUGCUACCGGAAGACUAGGAUAUUUAUUCAGAAUGAGCUUCCUAAGAUGGGGAUCACGGCCACUGUCAUUGAUCCUGCUGAUAUGGACUCCCUCCGAAGAGCAUUGGAUGAACACAAUGCGUACCUUUUCUUCACUGAAUCUCCAACCAAUCCAUUCCUCCGGUGUGUCGAUAUUGAGCUAGUUUCUCAGCUAUGUCACAAAAAAGGUGCAUUGGUUUGCAUUGACGGUACCUUUGCCUCACCCAUCAAUCAGAAGGCUUUAACUUUGGGGGCUGAUAUUGUUCUGCAUUCCGCAACCAAGUUCAUUGCUGGUCAUAAUGAUGUUCUUGGAGGUUGCCUUAGUGGUUCCGUAGAGUUGAUAUCCAAGAUCCGCCAGUACCAUCACGUCAUUGGUGGUGUCAUAAAUCCUAAUGCUGCGUAUAUGAUUAUCCGAGGUAUGAAGACACUUCAUCUUCGUGUACAACAUCAGAAUACUACUGCAUUGAGGAUGGCCCAGUUUUUGGAGGAUCAUCCCAAGAUUAUAAGAGUCUAUUACCCAGGCCUGCCAAGUCAUCCAGAACACCACAUUGCCAAAAGGCAAAUGACUGGUUUUGGUGGGGUGGUUAGUUUUGAGGUUGAUGGAGACUUGAGAGACACUAUGAAGUUUAUCAACUCGUUGAAGAUACCUUACCUUGCUCCGUCCUUUGGCGGCACUGAGAGCAUUGUGGACCAGCCUGCCAUUAUGUCUUACUGGGAUCUCCCUGCAUCAGAGAGGGCCAAGUAUGGGAUCAUGGACAACCUGGUGAGGUUCAGCUGUGGUGUGGAAGCCUUCGAUGAUUUAAAGGCUGAUAUUGUUCAGGCUCUUGAAAAGAUCUGACUCAUGUAGUUUAGUCAUAGAAU
RNAcentral lists this unclassified non-coding RNA (1670 nucleotides) under Hevea brasiliensis (rubber tree). The record is from RNAcentral. Lineage: Eukaryota; Viridiplantae; Streptophyta; Magnoliopsida; Malpighiales; Euphorbiaceae.